GCUCAGGAUGAACGCUAGCUACAGGCUUAACACAUGCAAGUCGAGGGGCAGCAUGGUCUUAGCUUGCUAAGGCCGAUGGCGACCGGCGCACGGGUGAGUAACACGUAUCCAACCUGCCGUCUACUCUUGGACAGCCUUCUGAAAGGAAGAUUAAUACAAGAUGGCAUCAUGAGUCCGCAUGUUCACAUGAUUAAAGGUAUUCCGG
This 205-nucleotide ribosomal RNA is filed under the name uncultured bacterium. RNAcentral describes it as "partial 16S ribosomal RNA". It matches the Rfam family "Bacterial small subunit ribosomal RNA", at positions 22 to 218 of the family's 1533-position model. The record is from RNAcentral.